This is a small nucleolar RNA of Panicum virgatum (switchgrass), 107 nucleotides long. The record is from RefSeq and is a predicted model, not a curated record. NCBI's taxonomy places the organism in Eukaryota, Viridiplantae, Streptophyta, Magnoliopsida, Poales, Poaceae.
AUCCCAUGAUGAGGGUAGGCGAGGAUGUAUUCUUGUAGUCUUUCCCAAGCUUUCGGGAUAGUUUCCAUCCCUAUCUACUGGAAACUCGUAAUUUUCCUGCGAAGGGC